This 26-nucleotide non-coding RNA is filed under the name Homo sapiens (human). Lineage: Eukaryota; Metazoa; Chordata; Mammalia; Primates; Hominidae. The record is from RNAcentral.
UGAUGCUGAUGAGGAUGGGCCAGUGC